AUUGAACGCUGGCGGCAUGCCUUACACAUGCAAGUCGAACGGUAACGGGCCUUCGGGUGCCGACGAGUGGCGAACGGGUGCGUAAUACAUCGGAACGUGCCCGAUCGUGGGGGAUAACGAGGCGAAAGCUUUGCUAAUACCGCAUACGAUCUACGGAUGAAAGCAGGGGACCGCAAGGCCUUGCGCGGACGGAGCGGCCGAUGGCAGAUUAGGUAGUUGGUGGGAUAAAAGCUUACCAAGCCGACGAUCUGUAGCUGGUCUGAGAGGAUGAUCAGCCACACUGGGACUGAGACACGGCCCAGACUCCUACGGGAGGCAGCAGUGGGGAAUUUUGGACAAUGGGCGCAAGCCUGAUCCAGCCAUGCCGCGUGCAGGAUGAAGGCCUUCGGGUCGUAAACUGCUUUUGUACGGAACGAAAAGCCUUCUUUUAAUACAGGAGGGUCAUGACGGUACCGUAAGAAUAAGCACCGGCUAACUACGU
Molecule: ribosomal RNA, 481 nt
Filed under: uncultured bacterium
Lineage: Bacteria
Description: partial 16S ribosomal RNA
Rfam family: Bacterial small subunit ribosomal RNA
Source: RNAcentral